AUUGAACGCUGGCGGAAUGCUUUACACAUGCAAGUCGAACGGCAGCACGGGAGCAAUCCUGGUGGCGAGUGGCGAACGGGUGAGUAAUAUAUCGGAACGUGCCCAGUCGUGGGGGAUAACGCAGCGAAAGCUGUGCUAAUACCGCAUACGAUCUACGGAUGAAAGCGGGGGAUCGCAAGACCUCGCGCGAUUGGAGCGGCCGAUAUCAGAUUAGCUAGUUGGUGGGGUAAAGGCUCACCAAGCCAACGAUCUGUAGCUGGUCUGAGAGGACGACCAGCCACACUGGAACUGAGACACGGUCCAGACUCCUACGGGAGGCAGCAGUGGGGAAUUUUGGACAAUGGGCGCAAGCCUGAUCCAGCCAUUCCGCGUGCAGGAUGAAGGCCUUCGGUUGUAAGCACUUUGUUGGGUAGAACCGGUCGGAUUAAUACUUCGGCUGAAUGACGGUACCCAAAGAAUAAGCACCGGCUAACUUCGUGUCCAGAC
RNAcentral lists this ribosomal RNA (486 nucleotides) under uncultured bacterium. RNAcentral describes it as "bacterial SSU rRNA". It matches the Rfam family "Bacterial small subunit ribosomal RNA", at positions 30 to 516 of the family's 1533-position model. The record is from RNAcentral.